RNAcentral lists this ribosomal RNA (253 nucleotides) under uncultured bacterium. RNAcentral's name for it is "partial 16S ribosomal RNA". It matches the Rfam family "Bacterial small subunit ribosomal RNA", at positions 524 to 776 of the family's 1533-position model. The record is from RNAcentral.
UACGUAGGGUGCGAGCGUUGUCCGGAAUUAUUGGGCGUAAAGGGCUCGUAGGCGGUUUGUCGCGUCGGGAGUGAAAACUCAGGGCUUAACCCUGAGCCUGCUCCCGAUACGGGCAGACUAGAGGUAUGCAGGGGAGAACGGAAUUCCUGGUGUAGCGGUGGAAUGCGCAGAUAUCAGGAGGAACACCAAUGGCGAAGGCAGAUCUCUGGGCCGUAACUGACGCUGAGGAGCGAAAGCAUGGGGAGCGAACAGG